This 760-nucleotide ribosomal RNA is filed under the name uncultured bacterium. Its description in RNAcentral is "bacterial SSU rRNA". It matches the Rfam family "Bacterial small subunit ribosomal RNA", at positions 52 to 781 of the family's 1533-position model. The record is from RNAcentral.
AAAAUGCANUUCGAACGCGAAAGGCUCCUUCNGGGGCCGAGUAGAGUGGCGCACGGCCUGUUAUAACACGAUAGGUAAUUUGCCUUUGGGUGGGGAAUAACUCAGGGAAACUUGAGCUAAUACCGCAUAAUGCAGCGGCUCGACAUCGAGACAGUUGUUAGAGCGGGGGAUUGGAGCAAUCCGACCUCGCGCCUGAAGAGAAGCCUGCGGCAGAUUAGCUAGUUGGUAAGGUAACGGCUUACCAAGGCGACGAUCUGUAACCGGCCUGAGAGGGCGGUCGGUCACACUGACACUGACAUACGGGUCAGACUCCUACGGGAGGCAGCAGUCGGGAAUUUUGGGCAAUGGGCGCAAGCCUGACCCAGCAACGCCGCGUGAAGGAUGAAAUUUUUCGGAAUGUAAACUUCGCAAGAACAGGAAGAAUAAGUAGGGGACAAUACCCCCUAUGAUGACGGUACUGUUUGUAAGCUCCGGCUAACUCCGUGCCAGCAGCCGCGGUAAUACGGGGGGAGCAAGCGUUGUUCGGAUUUACUGGGCGUAAAGGGCGCGUAGGCGGCGUGACNAGUCACUUGUGAAAUCUCCGGGCUUAACUCGGAACGGUCAAGUGAUACUGUCGUGCUAGAGUACAGAAGGGGCAACUGGAAUUCUCGGUGUAGCGGUGAAAUGCGUAGAUUUCGAGAGGAACACCUGCGGCGAAGCGGGUUGCUGGGCUGAUACUGACGCUGAAGGCGCGAAAGCCAGGGGAGCCAACCGGGAUUAA